RNAcentral lists this ribosomal RNA (182 nucleotides) under Escherichia coli. RNAcentral describes it as "partial 23S ribosomal RNA". It matches the Rfam family "Bacterial large subunit ribosomal RNA", at positions 2748 to 2925 of the family's 2925-position model. Lineage: Bacteria; Pseudomonadati; Pseudomonadota; Gammaproteobacteria; Enterobacterales; Enterobacteriaceae. The record is from RNAcentral.
GCUAUGUGCGGACGGGAUAAGUGCUGAAAGCAUCUAAGCAUGAAGCCCCCCUCAAGAUGAGAUUUCCCAUUCCGCAAGGAAGUAAGAUCCCUGAAAGAUGAUCAGGUUGAUAGGUCUGAGGUGGAAGUGUGGCGACACAUGGAGCUGACAGAUACUAAUCGAUCGAGGACUUAACCAUAUUU